GAAAUGCGAUAAGUAGUGUGAAUUGCAGAAUUCAGUGAAUCAUCGAAUCUUUGAACGCACAAUGCGCCCUUUGGUAUUCCUUAGGGCAUGCCUGUUCGAGCGUCAUCUAAACCUUCAAGCCCUGCUUGGUGUUGGGUGCCUGUCCCGCCUCCGCGCGCGGACUCACCUCAAAUCCAUUGGCGGCCCCCGCGUCGGCCACGAGCGCAGCAGAAACGCGAACUCGUGAGCCCGUCCGGGCGGCUCCCAGAAGCUACACCCACCCAGUUUGACCUCGGAUCAGGUAGGGAUACCCGCUGAACUUAAGC
This 305-nucleotide unclassified non-coding RNA is filed under the name plant metagenome. Its description in RNAcentral is "partial contains 5.8S ribosomal RNA, internal transcribed spacer 2, and large subunit ribosomal RNA". The stretch from base 1 to 105 matches the Rfam family "5.8S ribosomal RNA", at positions 50 to 154 of the family's 154-position model. The record is from RNAcentral.